RNAcentral lists this transfer RNA (58 nucleotides) under Canis lupus familiaris (dog). It matches the Rfam family "tRNA", at positions 8 to 63 of the family's 71-position model. From Rfam's summary of the family: Transfer RNA (tRNA) molecules are approximately 80 nucleotides in length. Their secondary structure includes four short double-helical elements and three loops (D, anti-codon, and T loops). Further hydrogen bonds mediate the characteristic L-shaped molecular structure. tRNAs have two regions of fundamental functional importance: the anti-codon, which is responsible for specific mRNA codon recognition, and the 3' end, to which the tRNAs corresponding amino acid is attached (by aminoacyl-tRNA synthetases). tRNAs cope with the degeneracy of the genetic code in two manners: having more than one tRNA (with a specific anti-codon) for a particular amino acid; and 'wobble' base-pairing, i.e. permitting non-standard base-pairing at the 3rd anti-codon position. The record is from Rfam by way of RNAcentral. Lineage: Eukaryota; Metazoa; Chordata; Mammalia; Carnivora; Canidae.
UGGCUCAGUCGGUAGAGCAUCUGACUCUUGAUCUCAGAGUUGUGAGUUCAAGUCCCAC